Molecule: ribosomal RNA, 1424 nt
Filed under: Bacillus licheniformis
Lineage: Bacteria; Bacillati; Bacillota; Bacilli; Caryophanales; Bacillaceae
Description: partial 16S ribosomal RNA
Rfam family: Bacterial small subunit ribosomal RNA
Source: RNAcentral
GGGGAUUCGUCUCUAUACUGCGUUCGCGCGCUCGAUGGGAGCUCCGUCCCUGCAUUUACCGGCGGACGGCUGAGUAACACGUGGGUAACCUGCCUGUAAAACUGGCACAACUCCGGGAAACCGGGGCUAAUACCGGAUGCUUGAUUGAACCGCCUGGUUGCUAGUAAAAGGUGGCUUUUCGGUCCCCUAAAAAUUUUCGGAGCGCCCGCCCUUUGGCCCGUUGAGUUACCGGGCAACCUGGCGCCGAACGCUUUCCAUUUAAGGAUGGUUCAACCCUAAAACCAGACCCAACUUAAAAAACCUAAAUCGGGGGGCACCAUUAGGGAAUUCUUCCGCAUGGAACGAAAUCCUGACGAACCACCGCCGCUUGAGUGAUAAAGGUUUUCGAAUCGUAAAACUCGGUUGUUAGGAAAAACCAAGUACCGUUCAAUUAGGGGGGUACCUUGCCGGUACCUAACCAGAAGGCCACGGUUAACUCCGGCCCAGCAGCGCGGUAAUACGUAGGUGGCAAGCGUUGCCCGAAAUUAUGGGGCGUAAAGCGCGCGCAGGCGGUUUCUUAAGUCUGAUGUGAAAGCCCCCGGCUCAACCGGGGAGGGCCAUGGAAAACUGGGGAACUUGAGUGCAGAAAAGGAGAGUGCAAUUCCACGUGUAGCGGUGAAAUGCGUAGAGAUGUGAAGGAACACAAGUGCCGAAGGCGACUCUCUGGUCUGUACUGACGCUGAGGCGCGAAAGCGUGGGGAGCCAACAGGAUCAGAUACCCUGGUAGUCCACGCCGUAAACGAUGAGUGCUAGUGUAGAGGUUUCCGCCUUAUGCUGCAGCAACGCAUAGCACUCGCUGGGGAGUACGUCGCAGACUGAACUCAGAUGACGGGGCCGACAAGCGGUGACAUGGUAAUCGAGCACGGAGACUACAGCCUGGACUCCCUGACACUAGAAUGCUCCCUUAGGGCCAGUGCAGUGGCAUGGUUGUCAGCAGCUCGAGUCGUAACAUGUUGGGUUAAGUCCCGCAACGAGCGCAACCCUUGAUCUUAGUUGCCAGCAUUCAGUUGGGCACUCUAAGGUGACUGCCGGUGACAAACCGGAGGAAGGUGGGGAUGACGUCAAAUCAUCAUGCCCCUUAUGACCUGGGCUACACACGUGCUACAAUGGGCAGAACAAAGGGCAGCGAAGCCGCGAGGCUAAGCCAAUCCCACAAAUCUGUUCUCAUUUCGGAUCGCAGUCUGCAACUCGACUGCGUGAAGCUGGAAUCGCUAGUAAUCGCGGAUCAGCAUGCCGCGGUGAAUACGUUCCCGGGCCUUGUACACACCGCCCGUCACACCACGAGAGUUUGUAACACCCGAAGUCGGUGAGGUAACCUUUUGUAUCCAGCCGCCGAAGGUGGGACUAGAUGAGGGGGGAAGUCCUUCUCUAGGUUUUUCCCAGGG